GGAAUCUUGCGCAAUGGGCGAAAGCCUGACGCAGCAACGCCGCGUGCGGGAUGAAGGCCUUCGGGUUGUACACCGCUUUCAGUGGGGACGAACCAAGAGGGUACCCACAGAAGAAGCCCCGGCCAACUACGCGCCAGCAGCCGCGGUAACACGUAGGGGGCAAGCGUUGUCCGGAUUUAUUGGGCGUAAAGAGCUCGUAGGUGGUUCGAUAAGUCGGGUGUGAAACCUCCAGGCUCUACCUGGAGACGCCACCCGAUACUGUCGUGACUAGAGUCCAGUAGGGGAGCGUGGAAUUCCUGGUGUAGCGGUGAAAUGCGCAGAUAUCAGGAGGAACACCAGCGGCGAAGGCGGCGCUCUGGGCUGGCACUGACACUGAGGAGCGAAAGCGUGGGGAGCGAA
RNAcentral lists this ribosomal RNA (399 nucleotides) under uncultured bacterium. RNAcentral describes it as "bacterial SSU rRNA". It matches the Rfam family "Bacterial small subunit ribosomal RNA", at positions 358 to 772 of the family's 1533-position model. The record is from RNAcentral.